AUUGAACGCUGGCGGCAUGCCUUACACAUGCAAGUCGAACGGCAGCAUGAUCUAGCUUGCUCGAUUGAUGGCGAGUGGCGAACGGGUGAGUAAUACAUCGGAACGUGCCCUGUAGUGUGGGAUAACUAGUCGAAAGAUUAGCUAAUACCGCAUACGACCUGAGGGUGAAAGUGGGGGACCGCAAGGCCUCAUGCUAUAGGAGCGGCCGAUGUCUGAUUAGCUAGUUGGUGAGGUAAAGGCUCACCAAGGCGACGAUCAGUAGCUGGUCUGAGAGGACGAUCAGCCACACUGGGACUGAGACACGGCCCAGACUCCUACGGGAGGCAGCAGUGGGGAAUUUUGGACAAUGGGCGAAAGCCUGAUCCAGCAAUGCCGCGUGUGUGAAGAAGGCCUUCGGGUUGUAAAGCACUUUUGUCCGGAAAGAAAUGGCUCUGGUUAAUACCUGGGGUCGAUGACGGUACCGGAAGAAUAAGGACCGGCUAACUACGUG
RNAcentral lists this ribosomal RNA (490 nucleotides) under uncultured bacterium. RNAcentral's name for it is "partial 16S ribosomal RNA". It matches the Rfam family "Bacterial small subunit ribosomal RNA", at positions 30 to 507 of the family's 1533-position model. The record is from RNAcentral.